CGAUACUUGGUGUGAAUUGCAGAAUUCAGUGAAUCAUCGAAUCUUUGAACGCACAUUGCGCCCCUUGGUAUUCCUUGGGGCAUGCCUGUUCGAGCGUCAUUUGUACUCUUCAAGCUUUGCUUGGUGUUGGGUGUUUGUCUCGCCUCUGCGCGCAGACUCGCCUCAAAACAAUUGGCAGCCGGCGUAUUGAUUUCGGAGCGCUUGCUACUUCUCUCGCUUUGCACUCAUAACGACGACGUCCAAAAAGUACAUUUUUUACACUCUUGACCUCGGAUCAGGUAGGGAUACCCGCUGAACUUAAGCAUAUCAAUAAGCGGAGGA
RNAcentral lists this ribosomal RNA (321 nucleotides) under Paraphoma sp. BAB-3182. RNAcentral's name for it is "eukaryotic LSU rRNA". The stretch from base 1 to 99 matches the Rfam family "5.8S ribosomal RNA", at positions 56 to 154 of the family's 154-position model. Lineage: Eukaryota; Fungi; Ascomycota; Dothideomycetes; Pleosporales; Phaeosphaeriaceae. The record is from RNAcentral.